This 73-nucleotide transfer RNA is filed under the name Bacillota bacterium. RNAcentral's name for it is "Firmicutes bacterium (marine metagenome) tRNA-Ala". It matches the Rfam family "tRNA". Rfam says of the family: Transfer RNA (tRNA) molecules are approximately 80 nucleotides in length. Lineage: Bacteria; Bacillati; Bacillota. RNAcentral also lists the same sequence under 3 other names. The record is from RNAcentral.
GGGGGUAUAGCUCAGCUGGGAGAGCACCUGCUUUGCAAGCAGGGGGUCGCCGGUUCGAGUCCGGCUAUCUCCA